UCCACCCAGACUUAAUCAGCUGCACUUUUGCCAUGUUUCUGGGUAAAACUAAAUGAAAGCAGAACACGCACUAUACUUAAUUCUCCCCAGACAGUGGUUUACUGGGAGCCUGAACAGAACAUGAAGAUGGAACAGCUGGAAAGCAGAAGAGUCACCAAGCUAGGAACCAUGUAUUCUGUCCACUUUCUUGUCCGCACCAGAAGAUACUGAUAACUGGAAUCCAGCACCAAGCUAUGCAAAAUCCUGCAAUCCACAGAGAUUAUGGAGGAAAUGGGCUUAGGGACACAACACUAAGAAACUUCACUGGGGACACAUUAAAAAAAGAAGGUCAUGUAUUCAUUUUGAACGUGUUAGAAUGGACCUGGGAGGUCAUCCAGUUUAAUUUACCAAAAUGGAAACUGAGGGUCAGAGAAAAUGAAGGGGCUUGCCCAAAGAUGUACCAGUAGUAAAUAAAUGGUGGAGCCAGGAUUUUUAUUCUGUGUUCUGGCUUUAUCUUUGGAGUAUUGAAUGUGAGCAGCUCUUAUAAUGUA
Phascolarctos cinereus (koala) is the source of this 530-nucleotide non-coding RNA. The record is from RefSeq and is a predicted model, not a curated record. Lineage: Eukaryota; Metazoa; Chordata; Mammalia; Diprotodontia; Phascolarctidae.